ACACCUCCACCUGCCACACACGGCAGACGAGAGCAGGUUUCGCGGGCUGAGCUCGACGUUGACCAGACGAAUACCUUGAUUUUCCGAGCUAUUUUUAGAGGCUUGUUCAGUGCGAGUGAUUUGGGUAGUUGGUCCGAGGUUGUGAGUUUUCCGGAAAAUUCCGUUUGUCUGAGAGGUAUAAAGCCAGAGCUGUGUGGGUUCCAGGAUAGUUCCAGCAGCAGUCAGUUUCUUAAACACUUUGUAAGGUGAGCAGUUGAGGGUUUUGACACACAACACAGUGGUCGGCACACAACACACUGGUCGACACACAACAAUGGCGGUGUGUCAGGAGAACACACCCGUGACACAGGACUGUUGUGGAGGCUUUACAGAAUUUAAACGCAGCACGUCGGGUUCUGUGAAAAAAAUUAAAGAAUUCCUCGCUGUAGACACGAUUCCUUCGAGACGGAGGUCAGCUUUGAGGGUGAAUCAGGUUUUCAAGCGCGCUUCUCCCACUGCAAGAAACACCCGGGGCACGGCGACUUCAUCCGUGUGGACAACCUUGACAUUGAGCACCUGCCAGAGAACUUCCGGGACAAGGACGUGCUGACCCUCAUCCGGGCACUGGCGGCUAUCACGGUCAGGGUGGAGACGGACUUCGUGAGCCCGGGCAGACCCCGCUUCUACCAAGACACGGACAUUCCGUAUCCGUUCCACAACGCGAUAGGUGACCGGAUGUUGCGGACCGGAAGUGGGCGUGUCCGGUACGUGACGGUUCCGGUCAACAAGAAGGACCAGCCCUGCCCAUGUCACGUGUGCAAGACUUCCGGUAAACCGAAGCGCAUGUGGUGUAAAGUGGGCGUGGUCACAGCCACCCACGUGGUGUAUGACGAGGAGGAGGCGAGGCACACCACGUGCCGAGUCGGCUUCAACAGCGACACCAGCCCCGCCGUGACCUUCGAGGGCAUGGGGGUCAGCGCCCACGGUGCUCACGUGGACGGCGACAGGUUUAACCUGUGCUGCGUCACGCACGACCUUGACCUGGCCAGGAAACUGUGGCUAGGUACAAGCAGCACUGCCUGAAGAUCAGCAAGAAGAUAGACUCUGUUAACCAUGACAACAGACUGGCCAUCGUCGUGUCCCACCCACACGGCUGCGCCAAGAAAGUGACCAUCGGCCGGUGGACGGAGAAGUUCCAGAUUGCCGGCACCGGCUACACGGUGUACCACUACACGGCAUGCACGUGCCCCGGUACCAGCGGCGCGCCGGUCUACAUCCUCGACCGGCGGACGUUCGGCUGGUGCAACCACCCGCACAGCGCCGCCAGGGUCAACUGCAGCGGGGUGGGGUACGCCUAGGGGUACCAGACCCCCGCCCCAUCUUCUCACAGAACCUCCUCCCCCCACACACACUCGUUGCAACCCUCUCAAUCACAUAGCUACAACCCUGCUGUCCUUUAAACCACAUAGCUACACCCCUCACUAGCACAUAGCUACAACUCUGCAACCCUAUCAACCACACAACUACACCCCUACAACCCAACCCUCUCAACACAUAGCUACACCCCAGCCACUCGUAGUUUGUGCCACAGUAAAACACCAUUUUUUAAAACGCUUGUCUAGUAAGACCAGAGCCAUUUUGUUUUAUUACAGUUUUAUUACAAUACUUGUAGCCCUAUUUGUAAUUAAUGUAAUUAUUUGCAAUGAUUUUUUAUGUCGCUUGUAUUUAU
RNA transcript from Physella acuta, 1708 nucleotides. RefSeq lists it as uncharacterized. The record is from RefSeq and is a predicted model, not a curated record. Lineage: Eukaryota; Metazoa; Mollusca; Gastropoda; Physidae.